RNAcentral lists this ribosomal RNA (380 nucleotides) under Tricommatinae sp. MZSP 73201. RNAcentral describes it as "partial large subunit ribosomal RNA". The stretch from base 72 to 380 matches the Rfam family "Bacterial large subunit ribosomal RNA", at positions 2046 to 2642 of the family's 2925-position model. Lineage: Eukaryota; Metazoa; Arthropoda; Arachnida; Opiliones; Gonyleptidae. The record is from RNAcentral.
AUUUUUAAUUGAAAUCUGGAAUGAAAGGUGGAAUCUGAGAAGGUUGUUUUAUUUUAAGAUUUUAAAUUUAAAUUAAAGGUAAAAAUGCCAUUAUUAGUUCUUGGGACGAGAAGACCCUAGAAGCUUAUUUAAUUUUAUUUUGGUUGGGGAAAUGGUUAAAGAAGAAUGAUUUUUAAAGAUUAAUUUUUUUUAGGAAAAAGUUACUUUAGGGAUAACAGCGUUAUUUAGUUUGAAAGUUCAUAUUAAUAAUUAAGUUUGCGACCUCGAUGUUGAAUUAAAUAAACUUUAAAAUGAAGAAGUUUUAUUAUGGUAGUCUGUUCGACUAUUAAAAAUUUACAUGAUUUGAGUUCAAAUCGGUUUAAGCCAGGUCGGUCNUUAUC